Molecule: ribosomal RNA, 462 nt
Filed under: uncultured bacterium
Lineage: Bacteria
Description: partial 16S ribosomal RNA
Rfam family: Bacterial small subunit ribosomal RNA
Source: RNAcentral
AGCGAACGCUGGCGGCAGGCUUAACACAUGCAAGUCGAGCGGGCAUCCUUGUGGUGUCAGCUGCAGACGGGUGAGUAACGCGUGGGAACGUGCCCUUCGGUUCGGAAUAACUCAGGGAAACUUGAGCUAAUACCGGAUACGUGCGAGAGCAGAAAGGUUUAUCUGCCGAAGGAUCGGCCGGCGUCUGAUUAGCUAGUUGGGGAGGUGACGGCUCACCAAGGCGACGAUCGGUAGCUGGUCUGCGAGGAUGAUCAGCCACCCUGGAACUGAGACACGGCCCAGACUCCUGGGGGAGGCCGCCGUGGGGACUACUGGACGAUGGGCGCAUGCCUGAUCCAGCCCUACCGCGUGGGUGAAGAAGGCCUUCUGGCUGUAAAGCCCUUUUGUGGGGAAAGAAGAGCAGCAGGGUAAUCCCCGGCUGUUCUGACGGUACCCAAAGAAUAAGCACCGGCUAACUUCGUG